RNAcentral lists this long non-coding RNA (2216 nucleotides) under Calidris pygmaea (Spoon-billed sandpiper). RNAcentral's name for it is "lncRNA (ENSCPGG00000003348.1)". The record is from RNAcentral. Lineage: Eukaryota; Metazoa; Chordata; Aves; Charadriiformes; Scolopacidae.
GGGAGGCAGGAACACCAGCUUUUGAGCCAACACCAGUUGUUCUUGUAAAUAUUUUAUUCGUUUCUCAGUUAUUCACUGUAGCAGGCCACUAUCUAGCCUCUGGCUAUCAGAGGGCAAAAGCACUGAAGAGCGUUAAGCGCAUAAGCAGGCCUGACACGUAACAACUGCUGCGGGAAGGCAGCACUUUUCAUCUUCAUGUCCUUACUGCAGGUUGCUAACCCAGCCCCAGGCCCCCGGCUCUGCCCCUGCCCCUCGCUCCUGCCCUGCAGCCUGCCUGAAGGCUGUUUGACACAUCGUAUAUACAGCGGAUUUGUAAUUUUUUUCUCCCAAUCACAGCAAAAAAAGUCAAUUUUCCUUCUGGGGGGUGCCAAAUAAUAAUCCAGGUUUCCUGAAGCAGGUGAGCAAUUACAUAUCUAUAAAACUGGAUGAAGCUAGAUUGGAGAUGGGUUGCCAUCACAUUUCCUUAAACAAAGGAGGGAGAUGAGGCAGAUCUAAUCACAUCCUUCAUUCACCCCAUCCUGCAAACUCCCUUUGCCAUGUUCAGAUAGGGAAGGUGAGCCUUUGAUCCAGGUAGCCUGAGCUGAGCAGCUAAGAUGGGUAGAGAUGCAAACAGAGUCCAAGCCCCUGGGUCCAAACCAACCUUAGAGAGCUCUCCAAAUGUGGGGGCUGGUCAGUGCUGUGCUUCUGGUUGAAAGGCAUCUUGGCCUGUUGGCCAAGGCAUAGCAAGGUCUAGCAAAAGCAUGUUGGACUUCAUUUCAGACUGCCGGGCACAGCACUGGGGUGAUGUGACAACCUCUUUGCCACCAUGGGGCUAAGAGAAAGGCCCUGCUCUCCCAUACAGCUCUGCCCAUCCCCUGCCAGGUGCCAGCAUUUCCUUCCUCAGCUUCUUCAUCACAAAGGGCAUGACCAGGUGGUCUCAGAGCCUGUGGCAACAGCAGCAGAGGAGGCAGGAAGUUCCCAGUCCAAUUUGCAAGAGCCUGUGGCACAUGGGCAAGACUGGCCACUGCGGAGACCUAUUUGUGGUGGUCUGUGGAUUAAAUUCAGCAGGGUACUGGUGAGACAGGAAAGCAGAACUAUGGAGAACCUGCCCUCCAAGUGUUCUCCAAGACCUCUUUGUUUGACAGUUUUGUUCUUUCUGCCACUGAUGGCAGAAAAGGUGGGUGCUUACACCAAGUGGAUGUCAGAGGAGGGUUGGUUCUCCCUUUCUGCUUCUUGAAGCCAGUCAGACAUAACUCCGCUGGGAGCAUUAUACCUGAAGGCCGGUGAGGGAAGCCAGGUCUUGCUGACAACACAGAAAAAGGAUAUGCAAAAGAUGCCAAGCUUGUCAGUCCAGCCAGGUGGUGAGGGCAGAUCCCCACCUGCUGCCAGCUAUCGCAGCUUCCCCUAACACCAGCAGCCCUUUAGCAGGCACAGACCCUCCCCAGGGCAGUGCUGCUGGAAGGCUCCUCUUUGUCAUAGGAAAUGGGAGCAGCAGCUUUUCUGACUGUGUCUGUAUGGAGACGUCAGCCAGGGUAUUGUACUCCAGGCUUAUCUCCCUCCCAGCUAUUUUCCUGCUUUCCCCAGGGGCCCUGAGCUCUGCCAGGGCAUUUCCCACCUUCACCCCCUGGAACCCUCUGCCUGCACACCAGCAGUGGUGUCCUCUCAGUGCCCCACUCUGGGCAAAGAUGGGGACGGCUGAAUCCCAUGGAGGGGGAGCUUUGUGCCGCUGGCAGGCUUCCCACCUAUCCUCCACCUAUUCCUUGCCUUCCUACCAGCACCGCUCCAAACAGUAAGGAGAGAGCUUCUUGUGGGUAUAACAGGGUGUAUUAGGCUGAGGCUGCUUACUGGGGCUGUCUGUCCAAAUGCCUCGAAAGCUUCUCCCAUGUCAGCCCAUGCUUGUCCCUCUGCUGUCAACUUCAGGAUGCUACACCUCUGCAUUCACCUCUUCGUCCCAGAGGCACGCAUGGUGAGGACCCCCAUGCCUCUUCCCUCUCUCCUCCAGGGAAGCGAGCAGGUCACCUGAGGAGAGGAACAAGAGGGGCAAAAGACGUAGCAGAGGGAGGAGCUGGGAUGAGUAGAAAGUAGGGAUGAAAAGCGAAAGAAGUGACUGGGUCAGGUAGGGGACAGGGCAGAAGGAAGAAGCUGAGCUAAGGGAUAAACUGAAAGGACUAGAAGAGGUUGCUCAAAAGGAACUACAGGGGUUGUUUAAACUGAGAACCACUGGGACAGAGACUGCC